RNAcentral lists this transfer RNA (71 nucleotides) under Canis lupus familiaris (dog). It matches the Rfam family "tRNA". From Rfam's summary of the family: Transfer RNA (tRNA) molecules are approximately 80 nucleotides in length. Their secondary structure includes four short double-helical elements and three loops (D, anti-codon, and T loops). Lineage: Eukaryota; Metazoa; Chordata; Mammalia; Carnivora; Canidae. The record is from Rfam by way of RNAcentral. RNAcentral also lists the same sequence under 1 other name.
GCCUGACUGGCUUAGUCCUAAAGCGUGUGACUCUUGAUCUCAGGAUCCUGAGUUCAAGCCCCAGUUAGGUG